GGUCCAGCAGGUUUGUGAUCGGACCUACAAAUUCCAGGCCGGCGGGACGUGCCUGGGAGCCCUCCCUGGGUCUCGGGGAGGAAUGACCCCACUUCUCUGUGAUUCCACCUUCCCUGAAGCUUAGAGACACUCCCACGAAGGAAACUGGGCAAGGUGUGGAGGUGGAAGCAGGCAAAUGUGGGGCCCAGAAGUCCAGGAAGACAUCUUUCAGGGGAGACAUGAAGAGCUGGGUCAGGAGAAUGAGGCCGGAGAACUGACCGCAUGGAGGUCACUGGCGCCCCUGAGUAGAUGGGAUGAACGUGUGAAUAUAACCACAUGCAAAGAGGCAAAGGACAGGGGCAGAUUACAGGGUGCUACGUCCCAGGCUGCCGUCCUCAAUGUCAAUCCCCCGUGUUCACUGUUCUCUUCCAAAACACUCUACCUGUGCAGACCCAGGCUGAUCCUGGCACUGAGCGGCCUUCUUCAGCCCAGGUGAUAGGCUAACCACUGGUGGGGGUGGGGGCGAGCAGGAGGGGCUGCGGCAGAGAGCCCUGCCAUUGCCUGUCGGAUUCCCUCUCUGAACUUUGCAGAGAUAGGCAAGGGGAGGUUAUGAGGGAGGAGGGUCAUGCUGGACCCCGAGCAGGUGAAGUUUCAAAGCAGGCAGAACGUGUGAGCAGGGAGCAGAAUGUAUGGCAGAGAAGAUGGCAUGCAGACCAGAGCGCUGUGGCUGCCUGGUAGCAGGAGAAGUGAGACAUCCCCCCAAGUGGAAGAAGAGGUGGCGAAUGUGGCUGUCACCUCACCGUGGGCACCACAAGGCAUCGCCCUGUUCUGGAACCUUCCACCAGUCCCAGUGCCCCCAUCUCUGAGCCCUGCCCUCCCAUCUCCCCGAGGCUGCUCUUCCCCCAUCGCUGUGAAGGUCUGCACGUGAAGCCCCCUACCUGAGCUCACGAAAGGCGCCUUCCGAAGACAAAGGGCUGUUUUACGCCGGAGCCGCGCUGAGCUCGCGUGAUGUUCCGCUCGGCGGCCACUGGGUGGUGCUCGAGGAGCCGGGAUGGCGGGUGAGGCUCCGGCGUCCUGCUGGGUCGGGUCCGGAGCCGGCACUUCAGUCACAGAGGCAAUGCUCAGAGGUGACCCCCCGAGGCAAGGAGAGUGGGGCCAACCCCCUUCCCAAAGCCGCUUUCAGUGUGGACAGUCGCGGUUUUCUCCCUCGUAUAUAACGAAUCAAAGCAUAUUUAGAAAAGAUUUUUUUCUUGGAAAAUGCUAUUUUUAUUGUUCUGUGAAAGGCCAUCUACAUCAGAGUGUGCAAACCCAGCGUCAAGGCCACCCCCCCCCCCCCGGUCCCCCGCCAGCUCGCAACCCCGCAGCCCCGCCUACAGGGAAAGAGCCCAGUGGAAUGUGCGCCCUUCCUCCUUGGUUCGGCCCUCGUGCCCCUAACGUCUCCUCGUUGCUCAGGGACCCUGCCGAUGGGCUUCCUGUGUUUCAAAUCCGGGAACUACCCUCCUCCUACCUCCCCAGGGAGCAGCCAGACCUUAGCCAGGCCUCAUCCUAUCCCUGGGCUGCUCUCUUGAAUAAAUUUGCUUAGCAACUUCCAUCUUUAAAACCAAACUACCCAAGAAACAAGGGGUCCCUCCUGGCCCUUCACUGCCCCUCUACUAUAUAUUGCCCAUCGCUUGCCUUCCCUUCCCAACAAACGGGUGGACUUGUCUCUGAGCACGGCCUCGUCUUCCUCCUUCCUAUUUACUCAAAUCCACCCUGGCUUGGUUUCUGUCCCUCUUGCUCCACUGAAACGGACUUUGCCCAAAUCCCAACUCCAGGAGAUGCUUUUGUCUUUUUUCUGUUUUAUUUGAUACUGAUCAUCUCUGCCUCCUUCCUGAGCUCGGUCCCCCCUUCAGCUCCUAAGAGUCCCCUCCCUUCGGCUUCCUCCCAGGCCCUGCCCCGGGCCCCACCCUCCAAGGCCCCACCCCUCUGGGGCUCCACCCUCAAGCUCUGCCUCCCCGCCCCCACUGGGAUCCACUUGCAGAGAGCGUUGUGCUAGCUGUGGCAGCGGGUCCACAAAAGGCCCCUCUACAGCGUGGGGGGGAGGGUGAAGGCUUGGGCCUGGGCGACAAGGUGACGAGUUCUCCAUCCCCAUUUAUUUUCACUAAGUUAGAGGGACGUUGGCCAAGGACCUAGCCAGGCGUUUUUCCUUUGAGGUUGGUGACGAGGAAGUGAGGUGUUGUGCCAACGAAGGUGACGUCCGAGCCGCAGAUCGUCAACAGAAGCCACUAGUUUACCCCACAAAAGAUGCCAGGUAACUGCGGGGAGGAACGACCGUCUCACUCCAGACCCAGAGCAGUUUUGAGCCUGUGACCUUGAAUGACACUGCACCUCCCACAGCGCUUCGCUAAAGGGGAGAGUGAUCGCAGUCAGUGGAGUGGAUCCUUUCAAUUAUAAAGGUGGUGAAAGACAGAAGUAUCCGAAGUUCAAGGCCUGUGGGCUGGGCGUGGUUCAGGGCCAGGAACUGCAGCGGCCUUUUCUCACCAAUUAGGCACAUUUUGCUGUACAGUCCUCUUCCCUUUGCAAGCAUUGAAUUCGUUUCCCUUUCACUCAGAAUGGCCUUCUCCAGGAAGAAUUAUAAAGUGCAGCGAAUAAGGUGAACAUUCAUCUUAAAGGAGUUUCCACCCAAGGGGACAAGAGAGUCCAGGGGUGUUACCAGAAGUCAGCUUAUGAUCCAGGAAUUAUUCCUCUGGGAGUCCCUUCCAUCUGCAUCAAACUCCUGGAUGAGCUUGUGGAAAGUCUACCGGGGCUGAAGCCCCGGCCUCUCCAAGACAGCUCAGCCGGGGAGGACUGGGGGAUUUCAUGCGAUUUUGAGCUGGACCCUGAAGAAUGGAUAAGAUUUAGAUCAUCAAAGAAGAAGGAAAGAGGAGCCUGUCCAAGAGAAGUGGGGCAGGAAGCAGAAAAGAAAGGAGAAGGUGGAAACUAGGCUGCCUGUGGCCAUAAAGGGCCACAUACUCCAAUGUCCCAUGGACCCGGGUUCAUUUUCUGGUCCCAUUUUCUAGAACCUUUGGCAAGACCUUCUUUAAGUCUCAGUGUUAAUAUCUAAAAAGUUGGGAUUAGCCAAUACGAACUACUGUACAUAGAAUAGAUAAACAAAAUGGUCCUACUGCAGAGCACACGGAGCUCUAGUCAAUAGCUUGUGAUAACCUGUAAUGAAAAAGAAUAUACAUACGUAUAACUGACUCAUUCUGCUGUACACCAGAAACUAAUACAACAUUGGAAAUUAGCUAGACUUCUAUAAAAAAAAAAGUGGAGAUUCCAAUAACUACCUCAAUAGAGCUGUUGUGAAAAUUAGGUGAGAUAAUGGAUACAUGGCUGUGGUUUGAGGAGGCAGAGUUAGGAUCCUAUAGACUCAGUAGUCGUGGGAGUGGACGUGUGCCUAGGGAGGCAGGAGCUGGUCUGGUGUGCGCUGGGGAGGAGAGAUCAGUGUAAAAGGUAGUGGGGUGUGAUUGUGAAGUUACGCAGAGCACUGGUGCUAGAAGACUGGAUGCACCACUUCCCAACAGAGUAAUCAGAACCCCAGAGAAGGAAGUAAUGUAUCAGAUGAACGCCGUGUUCAUAAUCCUAUCUGAAUAUCUGACCUUCUCAAAAAUACAAGAUCUCUGAGGGCAGAGGCUGUGACUGACACAUCUUUGCAAAGCCCUGCAAACCCCCAGCACGUCAUAUGGGGGCUCAGUUACUACUUUUUGAAUAUCUUGGGGGAGGGGUAUGUAGCUCAGUGGUAGAGCACAUGCUUAGCAGGCACAAAGUCCGGGGCUCAAACCCCAGUAAUUUCAUU
Molecule: non-coding RNA, 3793 nt
Organism: Vicugna pacos (alpaca)
Lineage: Eukaryota; Metazoa; Chordata; Mammalia; Artiodactyla; Camelidae
Source: RefSeq, a predicted model, not a curated record